This 449-nucleotide ribosomal RNA is filed under the name uncultured bacterium. RNAcentral's name for it is "partial 16S ribosomal RNA". It matches the Rfam family "Bacterial small subunit ribosomal RNA", at positions 29 to 523 of the family's 1533-position model. The record is from RNAcentral.
AAUGAACGCUGGCGGCAGGCCUAACACAUGCAAGUCGAACGGAUCCUUCGGGAUUAGUGGCGGACGGGUGAGUAACGCGUGGGAACAUACCCAAAGGUACGGAAUAGCCUCGGGAAACUGGGAGUAAUACCGUAUGUGCUGGAAAGAGGGAAGAUUGAUGGCCUUUGGAUUGGACCGCGUGUGAUAAGGUAGUUGGUGGGGUAAUGGCCUACCAAGCCGACGAUCCAUAGCUGGCUUGAGAGACUGAUCCGCCACACUGGGGCUGAGACACGGCCCAGACUCCUACGGGAGGCAGCAGUGGGGAAUCUUAGACAAUGGGGGAAACCCUGAUCUAGCCAUGCCGCGUGAUCGAUGAAGGCCUUAGGGUUGUAAAGAUCUUUCAGGUGCGAAGAUAAUGACGGUACCACCAGAAGAAGCUCCGGCUAACUCCGUGCCAGCCGCCGCAGUAA